AAACGAUUUAAAGUGAAACCGCGAACGGCUCAUUACAACAGCAAUAAUUGACUUGACGAUAUAUUCCUUAAAUGGAUAACUGUGGUAAUUCUAGAGCUAAUACAUGAAUUUAAGCAGAGUGUCUUUGGCGCUCUGUUCAUUUAUUAGACCAAAACCAAGCGGCCUCGGUCGUUUAUUUCGGUGACUCGUAGUAAUUUCGUUGAUCACAUGAUCUUGUAUCGGUGACACGUCUAUCAAGUUUCUGCCCUAUCAACUUUUGAUGGUUCUUUAUUGGAGAACCAUGGUUAUAACGGGUAACGGAGAAUUAGGGUUCGACUCCGGAGAGGGAGCCUGAGAAACGGCUACCGCAUCCAAGGAAGGCAGCAGGCGCGAAAAUUACCCACUCUCAGUGCGAGGAGGUAGUGACGAAAAAUAACAAGGCUGAUCGCUUUGCGAGCAGCUAUUGGAAUGGGUACAAUUUAAACCCUUUAACGAGGACCUAUGAGAGGGCAAGUCUGGUGCCAGCAGCCGCGGUAAUUCCAGCUCUCAAAAUGUACUUAACCAUUGUUGCGGUUAAAAAGCUCGUAGUUGGAUCUGUGCCGGCGGACUCGGUCCACUCGCAAGGGUGCGCACUGGGCUCCCCGGCUUUCUGCCGGUUUUCCCGUCGUGGCCUUAAUUGGUUGCGGCGGGUGGCUGGCGAUUUUACUUUGAACAAAUCAGAGUGCUUAAAACAGGCGUUUCGCUUGAAUGUUCGUGCAUGGAAUAAUAGAAAAGGUCUUUGCAGCCUUUUAUUGGUUAUCGCUGUAAGGAAAUGAUCGACGGGGACAGACGGGGGCAUUCGUAUUGCGACGUUAGAGGUGAAAUUCUUGGAUCGUCGCAAGACGGACUACUGCGAAAGCAUUUGCCAAGAAUG
Molecule: ribosomal RNA, 892 nt
Filed under: Steinernema glaseri
Lineage: Eukaryota; Metazoa; Nematoda; Chromadorea; Rhabditida; Steinernematidae
Description: bacterial SSU rRNA
Rfam family: Eukaryotic small subunit ribosomal RNA
Source: RNAcentral